This 433-nucleotide ribosomal RNA is filed under the name uncultured bacterium. RNAcentral's name for it is "partial 16S ribosomal RNA". It matches the Rfam family "Bacterial small subunit ribosomal RNA", at positions 29 to 507 of the family's 1533-position model. The record is from RNAcentral.
AACGAACGCUGGCGGCAUGCCUAACACAUGCAAGUCGAACGAGAACUUCGGGUCUAGUGGCGUACGGGUGCGUAACGCGUGGGAACCUGCACAUAGGUUUGGAAUAACUAUACGAAAGGGGUGAUAAUACCGGAUAAUGUCUUAGGACGAAAGAUUUAUCGCAUUUGGAUGGGCCAGAGUUGGAUUAGCUAGUUGGUAGGGUAAAAGCCUACCAAGGCGACGAUCCAUAGCUGGUCUGAGAGGCUGAUCAGCCACACUGGGACUGAGACACGGCCCAGACUCCUACGGGAGGCAGCAGUGGGUAAUAUUGGACAAUGGGCGAAAUCCUGAUCCAGCAAGGCCGCGUGAGUGAUGAAGUCCUGAGGGUUGUAAAGCUCUUUUACCCGGGAUGAUAAUGACAGUACCGGGAGAAUAAGCUCCGGCUAACUCCGUG